RNAcentral lists this ribosomal RNA (500 nucleotides) under uncultured bacterium. RNAcentral's name for it is "partial 16S ribosomal RNA". It matches the Rfam family "Bacterial small subunit ribosomal RNA", at positions 30 to 523 of the family's 1533-position model. The record is from RNAcentral.
AUUGAACGCUGGCGGCAUGCCUUACACAUGCAAGUCGAACGGCAGCACGGGAGCAAUCCUGGUGGCGAGUGGCGAACGGGUGAGUAAUGUAUCGGAACGUGCCCAGUCGUGGGGGAUAACGUAGCGAAAGCUACGCUAAUACCGCAUACGAUCUAUGGAUGAAAGCGGGGGAUCGCAAGACCUCGCGCGAUUGGAGCGGCCGAUAUCAGAUUAGGUAGUUGGUGGGGUAAAGGCUCACCAAGCCGACGAUCUGUAGCUGGUCUGAGAGGACGACCAGCCACACUGGGACUGAGACACGGCCCAGACUCCUACGGGAGGCAGCAGUGGGGAAUUUUGGACAAUGGGCGCAAGCCUGAUCCAGCAAUGCCGCGUGCAGGAUGAAGGCCUUCGGGUUGUAAACUGCUUUUGUACGGAACGAAACGGUGAGCUCUAAUACAGUUUGCUAAUGACGGUACCGUAAGAAUAAGCACCGGCUAACUACGUGCCAGCAGCCGCGGUAA